RNAcentral lists this long non-coding RNA (384 nucleotides) under Apteryx rowi (Okarito brown kiwi). RNAcentral's name for it is "lncRNA (ENSARWG00000014615.1)". The record is from RNAcentral. Lineage: Eukaryota; Metazoa; Chordata; Aves; Apterygiformes; Apterygidae.
AAACGUCUCAAAAUAAAUGUUUCACGCUGAUUCACAUCACUGAAUCAGUGGCACUCAUGUCACCUUUUCAAGAUAAUUUUUCACAACUCUAAGAGUUAUAAACAGCUUUUUUAAAUUAAGCUUGUCUUAGCUCAGCUGUCCAUAUUGCAACAGUGCGAGACAACACUGAUCUCCUCUCCUCCUCCCCUCCCCCAGAACAGGAACUCUGCUAGAAUCCCCAGAACUGUGAACGUGGUGGAACAGUUCAAAGCGGUCAGAGCAGCGAACGCGGUGACGGAGAAGCAAGAGAAUAGUCCUCCCCCUGAGAGUGGGAUUGAUUUGAUGUCCUCAGAGUCUCUCUGCAGAUGUUCAGCUUUAACUUGGACCGCAGCUUCUCUGGCAUGA